GACGAACGCUGGCGGCGUGCUUAACACAUGCAAGUCGAGCGGUAAGGCCCUUUCGGGGGUACACGAGCGGCGAACGGGUGAGUAACACGUGGGUGACCUGCCCUCAGCUCUGGGAUAAGCCUGGGAAACUGGGUCUAAUACCGGAUAUGACUCCAUGACGCAUGUUGUGGGGUGGAAAGCCUUGUGCGGCUGAGGAUGGGCCCGCGGCCUAUCAGCUUGUUGGUGGGGUGANGGCCUACCAAGGCGACGACGGGUAGCCGGCCUGAGAGGGCGACCGGCCACACUGGGACUGAGACACGGCCAGACUCCUACGGGAGGCAGCAGUGGGGAAUCUUGCGCAAUGGGCGAAAGCCUGACGCAGCGACGCCGCGUGAGGGAUGACGGCCUGGUGUAACUAC
RNAcentral lists this ribosomal RNA (398 nucleotides) under uncultured bacterium. Its description in RNAcentral is "bacterial SSU rRNA". It matches the Rfam family "Bacterial small subunit ribosomal RNA", at positions 28 to 433 of the family's 1533-position model. The record is from RNAcentral.